This 377-nucleotide unclassified non-coding RNA is filed under the name uncultured Gammaproteobacteria bacterium. RNAcentral's name for it is "contains 16S-23S intergenic spacer region". Lineage: Bacteria; Pseudomonadati; Pseudomonadota; Gammaproteobacteria. The record is from RNAcentral.
UCCGGUUUGUCACCGGCAGUCCCAUUAGAGUGCCCAACUAAAUGUAGCAACUAAUGGCAAGGGUUGCGCUCGUUGCGGGACUUAACCCAACAUCUCACGACACGAGCUGACGACAGCCAUGCAGCACCUGUGUCCAAGUUCCCUUUCGGGCACCCCUAGCUCUCACCAGGGUUCUUGGCAUGUCAAGGGUAGGUAAGGUUUUUCGCGUUGCAUCGAAUUAAUCCACAUCAUCCACCGCUUGUGCGGGCCCCCGUCAAUUCCUUUGAGUUUCAAUCUUGCGACCGUACUCCCCAGGCGGUCAACUUCACGCGUUAGCUACGUUACUAAGUGAUCAAGUCACCCAACAACUAGUUGACAUCGUUUAGGGCGUGGACUAC